UGCAGGUAACUAUGCCAUGUGACUACAUACUGGCCAAUAGGAUGUGGGUGUUAGUGAUGUGGUCCACUUCUAAAUCGUGCCCUCAAAGGCCUAAGCAGUUCUGGGCAGGGGGACAGUGUCUCCGGAAAGUAACUCCCAGACCCCUGCCGAGGGGGCGGGGCAGUCACCUGGCUACAUCGGCGGGCAGAGGGGAUCGAGAACCUUCCACCAGCCUCCAGUCGAGGUUCCUGUGCUCAUCCCCUCCUGUUCCUUCACCCUCAGGAGCAUCUGGCACCACCAUGAAAUUUUUUAAAAUGGUUAGUUCUGCCGAUCAAGGACCCUGUAUAAAUGGAAUUAUACAGCAUGCAUUCUUUGCUGUCUGGCUUCGGUUUUUUGCGGGGUUUUUUUGGCGGUGAGAAAGGCCUGAGU
Molecule: long non-coding RNA, 408 nt
Organism: Bos taurus (domestic cattle)
Lineage: Eukaryota; Metazoa; Chordata; Mammalia; Artiodactyla; Bovidae
Source: Ensembl